GACGAACGCUGGCGGCGUGCUUAACACAUGCAAGUCGAGCGGUAAGGCCCUUUCGGAGGUACACGAGCGGCGAACGGGUGAGUAACACGUGGGUGACCUGCCCUCAGCUCUGGGAUAAGCCUGGGAAACUGGGUCUAAUACCGGAUAUGACUCCAUGACGCAUGUUGUGGGGUGGAAAGCCUUGUGCGGCUGGAGAUGGGCCCGCGGCCUAUCAGCUUGUUGGUGGGGUGAUGGCCUACCAAGGCGACGACGGGUAGCCGGCCUGAGAGGGCGACCGGCCACACUGGGACUGAGACACGGCCCAGACUCCUACGGGAGGCAGCAGUGGGGAAUCUUGCGCAAUGGGCGAAAGUCUGACGCAGCGACGCCGCGUGAGGGAUGACGGCCUGG
This 390-nucleotide ribosomal RNA is filed under the name uncultured bacterium. RNAcentral describes it as "bacterial SSU rRNA". It matches the Rfam family "Bacterial small subunit ribosomal RNA", at positions 28 to 419 of the family's 1533-position model. The record is from RNAcentral.